This 684-nucleotide ribosomal RNA is filed under the name uncultured Flexibacteraceae bacterium. RNAcentral describes it as "bacterial SSU rRNA". It matches the Rfam family "Bacterial small subunit ribosomal RNA", at positions 94 to 777 of the family's 1533-position model. Lineage: Bacteria; Pseudomonadati; Bacteroidota; Cytophagia; Cytophagales; Cytophagaceae. The record is from RNAcentral.
AGUGGCGCACGGGUGCGUAACCUCUCAUAAACCUACCUUACAUUGGGGGAUAGCCUUUCGAACGUGAGAUUAAUACCGCAUAAGACAGUAACUAGGCAUCUAGUAGCUGUUAAAGAUUUAUCGAUGUAAGCUGGGCAUGCGACCAAUUAGCUAGUUGGUGAGGUAAUGGCUCACCAAGGCUAUGAUUGGUAGGGGAACUGAGAGGUCAAUCCCCCACACUGGCACUGAGAUACGGGCCAGACUCCUACGGGAGGCAGCAGUAGGGAAUAUUGGGCAAUGGACGCAAGUCUGACCCAGCCAUGCCGCGUGCAGGAUGAAGGCGUUAUGCGUUGUAAACUGCUUUUAUACAGGAAGAAACGACUCUUGCGAGAGGCAUUGACGGUACUGUAUGAAUAAGCACCGGCUAACUCCGUGCCAGCAGCCGCGGUAAUACGGAGGGUGCAAGCGUUGUCCGGAUUUAUUGGGUUUAAAGGGUGCGCAGGUGGUUUAUUAAGUCAGUGGUGAAAGACGGUCGCUCAACGAUUGCAGUGCCAUUGAAACUGGUAGACUUGAGUAAAGUAGAGGUGGGCGGAAUUGAUAGUGUAGCGGUGAAAUGCAUAGAUAUUAUCAAGAACUCCAAUUGCGUANGCAGCUCACUUGGCUUUUACUGACACUCAUGCACGAAAGUGUGGGUAUCAAACAGGA